UGGUAUUGUGGGACUUACUGAUGUUAUAGUUGUGUAAUGGAAUGUAUUGUGUGACUUGGUAUUGUGGGACUGUUGAUGUUUAAGUUGUAUAAUGGAAUGUAUUGUGUGACUUGGUAUUGUGGGACUUACUGAUGUUAUAGUUGUGUAAUGGAAUGUAUUGUGUGACUUGGUAUUGUGGGACUUAAUGAUGUAUUGUGGGACUUCUGAUGUUUUAGUUGUAUAAUGGAAUGUAUUGUGUGACUUGGUAUUGUGGGACUGCUGAUGAUAUGGUUGUGUAAUGGAAUGUAUUGUGUGACUUGGUAUUGUGGUACUGUUGAUGUUUAAGUUGUAUAAUGAAAUGUAUUGUGUGACUUGGUAUUGUGGGACUCAAAUAUAAAUUCGAAUAUUAGUCUUCAUUAUAUAAACAUUCAGGCCAGUAUUUCAUAUUACCCAGUAUUGCCCAGUGAAACCCAGA
Molecule: long non-coding RNA, 454 nt
Filed under: Mytilus galloprovincialis (Mediterranean mussel)
Lineage: Eukaryota; Metazoa; Mollusca; Bivalvia; Mytilida; Mytilidae
Source: RNAcentral